CAGGGUAUAGACCCGAAACCCGGUGAUCUAGCCAUGGGCAGGUUGAAGGUUGGGUAACACUAACUGGAGGACCGAACCGACUAAUGUUGAAAAAUUAGCGGAUGACCUGUGGCUGGGGGUGAAAGGCCAAUCAAACCGGGAGAUAGCUGGUUCUCCCCGAAAGCUAUUUAGGUAGCGCCUCGUGAAUUCAUCUCCGGGGGUAGAGCACUGUUUCGGCUAGGGGGCCAUCCCGGCUUACCAACCCGAUGCAAACUGCGAAUACCGGAGAAUGUUAUCACGGGAGACACACGGCGGGUGCUAACGUCCGUCGUGAAGAGGGAAACAACCCAGACCGCCAGCUAAGGUCCCAAAGUCAUGGUUAAGUGGGAAACGAUGUGGGAAGGCCCAGACAGCCAGGAUGUUGGCUUAGAAGCAGCCAUCAUUUAAAGAAAGCGUAAUAGCUCACUGGUCGAGUCGGCCUGCGCGGAAGAUGUAACGGGGCUAAACCAUGCACCGAAGCUGCGGCAGCGACGCUUAUGCGUUGUUGGGUAGGGGAGCGUUCUGUAAGCCUGCGAAGGUGGCCUGUGAGGGUUGCUGGAGGUAUCAGAAGUGCGAAUGCUGACAUAAGUAACGAUAAAGCGGGUGAAAAGCCCGCUCGCCGGAAGACCAAGGGUUCCUGUCCAACGUUAAUCGGGGCAGGGUGAGUCGACCCCUAAGGCGAGGCCGAAAGGCGUAGUCGAUGGGAAACGGGUUAAUAUUCCCGUACUUGGUGUUACUGCGAAGGGGGGACGGAGAAGGCUAUGUUGGCCGGGCGACGGUUGUCCCGGUUUAAGCGUGUAGGUGUGUGUUCCAGGUAAAUCCGGUUCACUUUAACACUGAGGCGUGACGACGAGGCACUACGGUGCUGAAGCAACAAAUGCCCUGCUUCCAGGAAAAGCCUCUAAGCAUCAGGUAACAUCAAAUCGUACCCCAAACCGACACAGGUGGUCAGGUAGAGAAUACCAAGGCGCUUGAGAGAACUCGGGUGAAGGAACUAGGCAAAAUGGUGCCGUAACUUCGGGAGAAGGCACGCUGACACGUAGGUGAAGUGAUUUACUCAUGGAGCUGAAGUCAGUCGAAGAUACCAGCUGGCUGCAACUGUUUAUUAAAAACACAGCACUGUGCAAACACGAAAGUGGACGUAUACGGUGUGACGCCUGCCCGGUGCCGGAAGGUUAAUUGAUGGGGUCAGCGCAAGCGAAGCUCCUGAUCGAAGCCCCGGUAAACGGCGGCCGUAACUAUAACGGUCCUAAGGUAGCGAAAUUCCUUGUCGGGUAAGUUCCGACCUGCACGAAUGGCGUAAUGAUGGCCAGGCUGUCUCCACCCGAGACUCAGUGAAAUUGAACUCGCUGUGAAGAUGCAGUGUACCCGCGGCAAGACGGAAAGACCCCGUGAACCUUUACUAUAGCUUGACACUGAACAUUGAGCCUUGAUGUGUAGGAUAGGUGGGAGGCUUUGAAGUGUGGACGCCAGUCUGCAUGGAGCCGACCUUGAAAUACCACCCUUUAAUGUUUGAUGUUCUAACGUGGACCCGUUACCCGGGUUGCGGACAGUGUCUGGUGGGUAGUUUGACUGGGGCGGUCUCCUCCUAAAGAGUAACGGAGGAGCACGAAGGUUGGCUAAUCCUGGUCGGACAUCAGGAGGUUAGUGCAAUGGCAUAAGCCAGCUUGACUGCGAGCGUGACGGCGCGAGCAGGUGCGAAAGCAGGUCAUAGUGAUCCGGUGGUUCUGAAUGGAAGGGCCAUCGCUCAACGGAUAAAAGGUACUCCGGGGAUAACAGGCUGAUACCGCCCAAGAGUUCAUAUCGACGGCGGUGUUUGGCACCUCGAUGUCGGCUCAUCACAUCCUGGGGCUGAAGUAGGUCCCAAGGGUAUGGCUGUUCGCCAUUUAAAGUGGUACGCGAGCUGGGUUUAGAACGUCGUGAGACAGUUCGGUCCCUAUCUGCCGUGGGCGCUGGAGAACUGAGGGGGGCUGCUCCUAGUACGAGAGGACCGGAGUGGACGCAUCACUGGUGUUCGGGUUGUCAUGCCAAUGGCACUGCCCGGUAGCUAAAUGCGGAAGAGAUAAGUGCUGAAAGCAUCUAAGCACGAAACUUGCCCCGAG
Molecule: ribosomal RNA, 2120 nt
Filed under: Salmonella enterica subsp. enterica serovar Enteritidis
Lineage: Bacteria; Pseudomonadati; Pseudomonadota; Gammaproteobacteria; Enterobacterales; Enterobacteriaceae
Description: partial 23S ribosomal RNA
Rfam family: Bacterial large subunit ribosomal RNA
Source: RNAcentral